This 482-nucleotide ribosomal RNA is filed under the name uncultured bacterium. RNAcentral's name for it is "partial 16S ribosomal RNA". It matches the Rfam family "Bacterial small subunit ribosomal RNA", at positions 29 to 507 of the family's 1533-position model. The record is from RNAcentral.
AUUGAACGCUGGCGGCAUGCUUUACACAUGCAAGUCGAACGGUAACAGGCCGCUAGGUGCUGACGAGUGGCGCACGGGCGAGUAAUGCAUCGGAACGUGCCCAGUCGUGGGGGAUAACUACUCGAAAGAGUAGCUAACACCGCAUACGAUCUAUGGAUGAAAGCGGGGGACCGUAAGGCCUCGCGCGAUUGGAGCGGCCGAUGUCCGAUUAGGUAGUUGGUGGGGUAAAGGCUCACCAGGCCAACGACCUGUAGCUGGUCUGAGAGGACGAGCAGCCACACUGGGACUGAGACACGGCCCAGACGCCUACGGGAGGCAGCAGUGGGGAAUUUUGGACAAUGGGCGCAAGCCUGAUCCAGCAAUGCCGCGUGCAGGAAGAAGGCCUUCGGGUUGUAAACUGCGUUUGUACGGAACGAAACGGCUCUGGUUAAUACCCGGGGCUAAUGACGGUACCGGAAGAAUAAGCACCGGCUAACUACGUG